AACGAACGCUGGCGGCAUGCCUAACACAUGCAAGUCGAACGAGACCUUCGGGUCUAGUGGCGCACGGGUGCGUAACGCGUGGGAACCUGCCCUUAGGUUCGGAAUAACUCCCCGAAAGGGGUGCUAAUACCGGAUAAUGUCUUCGGACCAAAGAUUUAUCGCCUUUGGAUGGGCCCGCGUUGGAUUAGCUAGUUGGUAGGGUAAAAGCCUACCAAGGCGACGAUCCAUAGCUGGUCUGAGAGGAUGAUCAGCCACACUGGGACUGAGACACGGCCCAGACUCCUACGGGAGGCAGCAGUGGGGAAUAUUGGACAAUGGGCGAAAGCCUGAUCCAGCAAUGCCGCGUGAGCGAUGAAGGCCUUAGGGUUGUAAAGCUCUUUUACCCGGGAUGAUAAUGACAGUACCGGGAGAAUAAGCUCCGGCUAACUACGUG
RNAcentral lists this ribosomal RNA (433 nucleotides) under uncultured bacterium. RNAcentral's name for it is "partial 16S ribosomal RNA". It matches the Rfam family "Bacterial small subunit ribosomal RNA", at positions 29 to 507 of the family's 1533-position model. The record is from RNAcentral.